RNAcentral lists this ribosomal RNA (253 nucleotides) under uncultured bacterium. RNAcentral's name for it is "partial 16S ribosomal RNA". It matches the Rfam family "Bacterial small subunit ribosomal RNA", at positions 524 to 776 of the family's 1533-position model. The record is from RNAcentral.
GACGUAGGGCGCGAGCGUUGUCCGGAUUUAUUGGGCGUAAAGAGCUCGUAGGUGGUUUGUCGCGUUGUCCGUGAAAACUCACAACUCAAUUGUGGGCGUGCGGGCGAUACGGGCAGACUGGAGUACUGCAGGGGAGACUGGAAUUCCUGGUGUAGCGGUGAAAUGCGCAGAUAUCAGGAGGAACACCGAUGGCGAAGGCAGGUCUCUGGGCCACUACUGACGCUGAGAAGCGAAAGCAUGGGGAGCGAACAGG